This 648-nucleotide ribosomal RNA is filed under the name Symbiodinium sp. Mp. RNAcentral describes it as "partial Bacterial large subunit ribosomal RNA". It matches the Rfam family "Bacterial large subunit ribosomal RNA", at positions 595 to 1245 of the family's 2925-position model. The record is from RNAcentral. Lineage: Eukaryota; Dinophyceae; Suessiales; Symbiodiniaceae.
GACAGCGUACCUUUUGUAUAAUGGGUCAGCGACUUAAUUUAACGAGCAAGCUUAAGCCGAUAGGUGUAGGCGCAGCGAAAGCGAGUCUGAAUAGGGCGAUGAGUUCGAGGGAUAAGACCCGAAACCGAGUGAUCUAGCCAUGUGCAGGUUGAAGGUGCGGUAACACGCACUGGAGGACCGAACCCACGUCUGUUGAAAAAGACGGGGAUGACGUGUGGCUAGGGGUGAAAGGCCAAUCAAACUCGGAGAUAGCUGGUUCUCCGCGAAAUCUAUUUAGGUAGAGCGUCUCGUAUUACCUUCGGGGGUAGAGCACUGGAUGGGCUAGGGGGUCCCAACGACUUACCAAACCUAACCAAACUCCGAAUACCGAAGAGUAGAGCGAGGCAGACACACUGCGGGUGCUAAGGUCCGUAGUGGAGAGGGAAACAGCCCUGACCGCCAGCUAAGGUCCCUAAGUUAUCACUAAGUGGGAAACGAUGUGGGAAUGCUUAGACAACCAGGAGGUUGGCUUAGAAGCAGCCAUCCUUUAAAGAUAGCGUAACAGCUCACUGGUCUAAACAAGUUGUCCUGCGGCGAAGAUGUAACGGGGCUCAAGCCAUGAGCCGAAGCUGAGGAUGCACAUAGUGCAUGGUAGCGGAGCGUAGUGUG